GCCGCCCGCACCCGGAAGCGUCUCCCAUGACCGCCUCUGACCGACCUCUCCACAGCCUGUAAACAAAAGGCCGUCGGUUCGAAUCCGACAGGCGGCCCCA
Molecule: transfer RNA, 100 nt
Filed under: Streptomyces tubbatahanensis
Lineage: Bacteria; Bacillati; Actinomycetota; Actinomycetes; Kitasatosporales; Streptomycetaceae
Description: tRNA-OTHER
Source: RNAcentral